This 242-nucleotide small RNA is filed under the name Paenibacillus aquistagni. RNAcentral's name for it is "BsrG". It matches the Rfam family "BsrG". From Rfam's summary of the family: bsrE, bsrG and bsrH pair through intermolecular interactions with antisense sRNAs. SR4 interaction with the 3'UTR of bsrG RNA promotes bsrG degradation and inhibits its translation. SR5 also overlaps bsrG from nucleotide 163 to 52 (Rfam overlap check). Lineage: Bacteria; Bacillati; Bacillota; Bacilli; Caryophanales; Paenibacillaceae. The record is from Rfam by way of RNAcentral.
CACAACUGAAUCGGCUUUCAAGGGCGGUAGCUAUGAUCUCCGAAAGGAGGUGAUAGCAUGACAGUAUACGAGGCGUUAACGCUAAUGCUUUCCUUCGGGACAUUCGUCGUCUUGAUUCUGUCCUUCCAUAAAAGGAAAUGAGCCGCCCUUGACCUAGGAUAACGGCUCAUUCUUGAGUUGCUUCCGUAUAGCCACCGCCUUUGAAGCGGCAGUUGUGGGGAUUCGUGUUACCAGCACGAGUC